This 439-nucleotide ribosomal RNA is filed under the name uncultured bacterium. RNAcentral describes it as "partial 16S ribosomal RNA". It matches the Rfam family "Bacterial small subunit ribosomal RNA", at positions 339 to 795 of the family's 1533-position model. The record is from RNAcentral.
CUACGGGCGGCUGCAGUGAGGAAUAUUGCACAAUGGGGGGAACCCUGAUGCAGCAACGCCGCGUGGAGGAUGACGCAUUUCGGUGUGUAAACUCCUUUUAUAUGUCAAGAAAAUGACGGUAGCAUAUGAAUAAGCACCGGCUAGCUCCGUGCCAGCAGCCGCGGUAAUACGGAGGGUGCAAGCGUUACUCGGAAUCACUGGGCGUAAAGGACGCGUAGGCGGGUUGGAAAGUCAGGUGUGAAAUCCUACAGCUUAACUGUAGAACUGCACUUGAAACUUCUAAUCUAGAGUAUGGGAGGGUGAGAUGGAAUUAGUGGUGUAGGGGUAAAAUCCGUAGAUAUCACUAGGAAUACCUAAAGCGAAGGCGAUCUCCUGGAACAUUACUGACGCUAAGGCGUGAAAGCGUGGGGAGCAAACAGGAUUAGAUACCCGCGUAGUC